CAUUUCUCUGCUAUCCUCCAUCCUGGUCCCUCCCUUCCCCCCAUCUCCGUUCCCCUCCAACCCUGUGCCCCGCCAACGUUUUCUAACUGCCCUCUAUUCAGAUCCCCCCUCCGCCUCUCCUCUCCUCCCCUCCAUUCCCGUGUCCCCCUUCCCCCGCCGCGCCGCCUGGGCUGUCCGUGGGCUUGUCUCUCUCUCUCUCUCCUCAUUUAUUUGGAACGGUUGGAUAAGAAGUGCUCGGGCUCUCGCUCAGACUGAGGGAGCUGCCUCGAGGUGAUAUUUGAAUGACACCCCCUGGCACCAGCUACCCUUCUCAGACCCCCGUCCAGCCGGCUCCCGACGUCGACUGCGAUUCCGCUACCUCGGCGGGCAGCGAGGUUGGGGUGAGCCCCAGCUGCAGGCGCGUCUGGGCGGCGCCGCUGCAAACGAGUUGCGCACCUCGGGUGGCUCCGCACCUGCACCCGCACCCGCGGGGCUGAGCCCCGAAGGCUGCAGCUUCGGGGGAAGCGCGGUCGCCGAGGUCCAGCUGGUGGGGCGAGCGAAGUCGCCCCUCGGAGGAUGCUCUCGGAACUUGGGAGAGGAAGGAGGGAAGAGAAGAGGGGAAAGGGGCCGUCGAUGUUUUUGAUGUCUGUGCUUUAAUGGAGCCCACCAAUAUUGAGAAGACGGGGUUGGCGGAGGCAGCCGCACGCUGCUGCUAGCGAGCGCUCCAGUCAAAGCUGGGGCCAAGCACGGCGUGUCCGGGUGCCCUGCGGGGUGGACACUUGGCUUAGCACCGGGACACAGAGUAGCCACCGGGGUUGGGAGAUGGCGUUCACUUUGCUUACCUGUUGGCAAGAGGACAUACAAAAAUAACGUAAUGUGACAUCGUUGACAACGGUAGCUCUUUGAUUAGACAAAAGCCAAUUUUACCUUCCCGCAAAAGCCAGUUGACGCCGUUGGAACUUUUAUUUGCGGCAUUUUGGCGCCCUCUGGCUGUGUUUGGAUCGCUUUCAUGCUCGCCUUGCGUCCCAGCCAAGAAAAAAUCGAUUGAGUUGCAGGUUGUCCUCAAAAUGGUUCUGCCCUCAUGACCUGGGCGCGAAUUCAGGGACAGGGUCGCCCUCCAUAACGGGAGUGACAAACUGUAGCCAUACUUAGGGAGGCAGACGUCAAAGGCAAGUACAUCUGUAUUCAGCCGGGGAAAGGUAAGUGCAUUUUCACUUAACAGGAAAAUUAACUUAUCAUAACUUUAACUUACAUAUUUAAAUUAAGCAAAGUGACCAUGUCUACUCAAUGGGACUAGCUAUUUUGCAAUGGAAACACUUGAGGACCCUACUGUACACAUUUACAGGUCAUAGGAGGCAGCACCAAAUUAGAUGAAAAUGUUCAAAUUUGAACCAAACCAGCUGGAAAUGUUCAAAUUUAAACCAAAGGUAAGAAAAAAGCGGGAACUGUUUGUUUUUUUCUUUUUCUCUUUCUGCCAUUUAAAGUGAAAUAAAAGUUAGUGUAGUAAAAUACCAGGGAAGCAAAUUACAAAUGAGCUUGCCUCCAAAACAUUGUAUUCUUUUGAAUAUUUAUUUCCCUCACACCAGUACACCAUCUAUAAAGGCUAAAUGGAGGAUGCAGGUUUUCCCACCUCCUUUUGGAGACAGAUAUGUCUUUGUUGUGGGAGGCUGUCCUAUGCACUGUAGGAUGUUUGGCAUUCAUUGCUGGCCUCUGCCAGCAGCCAGUACCACCCUCCACACACACCACCAGCACCAGCACCAGCUGGGACACCCAAAAAUGUCUCCAGAUAUUGCCGAAUGUCUCCUGGGAGGCAAAAUCACUCCAGGCUGAAAACCAGUGAGCUACAUUUUCUUUCAACCUUUAUGAGAAAGUCUCUAGGUUUUUACCCUAUCAAAUUAGAUGAAUAUUUGCAAUGUUACGCUCAAGACAUUUCCUGAGUUUGUUAGAGGGGCUGCGUACUUGUUCAUUUAGCAUUCAGGGUUUUUAUCCUUGUGAUCUUGCCCGCAUGUAAAUCAUCUUAAAAUUAGCAAAUAGAUUUUCUCAUUGUAUUUGCAGUAUAAGCUUGUGGGUGUUAUCUUCCUUCUCCAUUCUCUUUUUCCAAUUUUCAAAAAAAAAAAA
Non-coding RNA from Chlorocebus sabaeus (green monkey), 2097 nucleotides. The record is from RefSeq and is a predicted model, not a curated record. Lineage: Eukaryota; Metazoa; Chordata; Mammalia; Primates; Cercopithecidae.